RNAcentral lists this ribosomal RNA (243 nucleotides) under Haemaphysalis longicornis (longhorned tick). RNAcentral's name for it is "Eukaryotic large subunit ribosomal RNA". It matches the Rfam family "Eukaryotic large subunit ribosomal RNA", at positions 1925 to 2120 of the family's 3401-position model. The record is from Rfam by way of RNAcentral. Lineage: Eukaryota; Metazoa; Arthropoda; Arachnida; Ixodida; Ixodidae.
GAUCCGUAACCUUGGGAAAAGGAUUGGCUCUGAGGGCUGAGCCGGUCGGGCUGGGGUCCAGAAGCAGGAAUGGCACUGCACCGGGACUGGGCGAGGCUCGCCGCCGUAAAAAGCGGUGCGGCCGAGCCCGGACCAGCGUCGGGACCUUCCUGUGGAAAGCCACAGCUGUGCUUGUUUCCAUGGGCUUCGUGCCUGGAGGUUCUUGCUUCGGCCGGCAGAAAACAGCCAACUCAGAACUGGCAC